GUGGGGAAUAUUGCACAAUGGGGGAAACCCUGAUGCAGCGACGCCGCGUGAAGGAAGAAGUAUCUCGGUAUGUAAACUUCUAUCAGCAGGGAAGAUAAUGACGGUACCUGACUAAGAAGCCCCGGCUAACUACGUGCCAGCAGCCGCGGUAAUACGUAGGGGGCAAGCGUUAUCCGGAUUUACUGGGUGUAAAGGGAGCGUAGGCGGCGGAGCAAGUCAGAAGUGAAAGCCCGGGGCUCAACCCCGGGACGGCUUUUGAAACUGCCCUGCUUGAUUUCAGGAGAGGUAAGCGGAAUUCCUAGUGUAGCGGUGAAAUGCGUAGAUAUUAGGAGGAACACCAGUGGCGAAGGCGGCUUACUGGACUGACAAUGACGCUGAGGCUCGAAAGCGUGGGGAGCAAACAGGAUUAGAAACCCUAGUAGUCC
RNAcentral lists this ribosomal RNA (425 nucleotides) under uncultured bacterium. RNAcentral describes it as "bacterial SSU rRNA". It matches the Rfam family "Bacterial small subunit ribosomal RNA", at positions 354 to 796 of the family's 1533-position model. The record is from RNAcentral.